AACCCGUAGAACCGAACUUGUGCC
RNAcentral lists this microRNA (24 nucleotides) under Eisenia fetida (common brandling worm). RNAcentral describes it as "Efe-Mir-10-P2h_5p (mature (guide))". The record is from RNAcentral. Lineage: Eukaryota; Metazoa; Annelida; Clitellata; Crassiclitellata; Lumbricidae. RNAcentral also lists the same sequence under 1 other name.